UACAGAGGGUGCGAGCGUUAAUCGGAAUUACUGGGCGUAAAGCGCGUGUAGGCGGCUGUGCAAGUCGGAUGUGAAAUCCCGUGGCUCAACCACGGAAGUGCACCCGAAACUGCGCAGCUGGAGUCUCGGAGAGGAAGGUGGAAUGCUUGGUGUAGAGGUGAAAUUCGUAGAUAUCAAGCGGAACACCGGUGGCGAAGGCGGCCUUCUGGACGAUGACUGACGCUGAGACGCGAAAGCGUGGGGAGCAAACAGG
Molecule: ribosomal RNA, 253 nt
Filed under: uncultured bacterium
Lineage: Bacteria
Description: partial 16S ribosomal RNA
Rfam family: Bacterial small subunit ribosomal RNA
Source: RNAcentral